AAUUCUAACGUCUAUGACACUUAGACUUCAGCGACUAUUGACUUUAGAUUAUAAUAAGUACUAUAUAGUACUCUAUACUAGUAUCCUGAGUAUUUGAGAAUACAUCACUACAUCAGACAUAGGUUUAUUUAGUUAUUCUAAACCACCCUGUUAACUCAUCUCGGUAGUCGUACUCUUUAAAGUACCUAGAUGAAACUUAAAAAGAAAGGGGAUUCGAAUUCGAAAAUGCGUUGACAACGUUUACAGAAUACAGUGUUGCCGUCACACCGGUGUUUUAAGCAAAAUUGAAAAUAAUAAAAAUCGAUGGGAGUUAUCAAAUUGUUGUUAAGUAACCUUUCUGUUAUCAAACAAUGUUUAUUAAAUAACUAAUAAUAACGUUUUAAAUAAGAUUAUAUUACGCUACUUAUGAAUGAGUGAUAAUUACUACACACAGUUUCAAUCAUUUUUUUUUACGUCAAUAAAUAGACUAUAUAUCUGACCUUGCUCAUUGUACAGCUUCAUUUCGGAACUACCUAUCGAAAAUUAUUCAAUGGUCUUUGCGUCAGCGUUUCCAUUGCCAAAUUCAAUUACAUGUCGAUCGUGUUGUUCUUGUUGGGGCUCUAACGAUAAUUUGUUGUUACCAAAUUAGUGAUUUUCAUUUUUGAUUACAAUCUACAUAGUAUCUGCAGACUGCAGCAUACCUACUGUAGGUUUCCUAUUUGCUCAUUUGAUUACAUUACGUAUAUUUUUUUGCGUAGAUACCUAACAGCUUUUUAUAUAUCAGUAUAAUUAUAUCUACUUAAAUAAGUGCAUAAUAUAUUAUUUAUAUAUUAUUUAUGUUUGUUAUUAUUACAGUUAGUAGUGACUAGUGACAAUCAUUGUACAGUAAUACAAUCGUAUAGUGACGAGCUUUUAUUCAUUAUAUUUUGUAUUUAGUAAAAUCAUAACGGAAAAAUAGUAAAAAUUUAAAGAAGGAUAUGAAGUGUUAUUUUAGUGAAUCUGUGUUCUGUUUGUAAUAUUUUGUUUGGAAAAAGUCCUUUCAUAAUAUUAACAACCAUUAUUUACAACUUGUUAUGUAAAUAUUGUGUUCGUCAUAAUUUGUUAAAUUGUUGUUGAUAUUCGUUAUCUAGUUAAUAAGUUAAUAAUACUAUCAAAGAGUUGUGGGUACCUAAUGAAUUUGAUAAAGUGUGUAAACAAAACAUACUAAUAUCUUAUCAUUAAUUAAUUAUCACUAUUCAGACGAUUUAUGAACACCAAAUUGUUCAUGGUUAAGAUCAGGAUUAAAUAUUAUAUGUUGUAGAUCUCUACGUAAUCUUGUUUAUAUUGUAUUGUGUAUAGUAUGAUAUAUAUAUAUCUGUUUGUGGUUAUUACAAAUUUUAACUGUUAGCAAUAUGCCUUCCCCAAUUAUUAUUAUAAUUGUUAUAAUUAUUAUUACUAUUAUUUUUAUUUGUUGUAAGUAAUAUUUGAAUUGAUACAUAAUUCAAUAAUUGUUACAAAUUCUACAAUACCAACCCUAUUAAUAGUUAAACAGAUGUUAGGUUUUUAAAAUUGUUACUACCUAUGAUUAGUGAUAAACACAAAUCAUUUUUUAACUCAAAUGUUUAACUGUAUUCAGCAGUGGUGUAAUUGUGGAGAAAUGGAAGGCCAAAAAAAAAUGUAUGUUCAACAACUACCUCCAAAAAAAAAGAAAAAAAUUCAUUACUUUUUUAUGUACAUCGUGGAUAUGAAAAUUCCAUAACAGAUAAGUUAUGAAGUUA
Myzus persicae (green peach aphid) is the source of this 1736-nucleotide long non-coding RNA. RefSeq lists it as uncharacterized. The record is from RefSeq and is a predicted model, not a curated record. NCBI's taxonomy places the organism in Eukaryota, Metazoa, Arthropoda, Insecta, Hemiptera, Aphididae. The transcript is spliced from 2 exons.